RNAcentral lists this ribosomal RNA (441 nucleotides) under uncultured bacterium. RNAcentral describes it as "partial 16S ribosomal RNA". It matches the Rfam family "Bacterial small subunit ribosomal RNA", at positions 338 to 795 of the family's 1533-position model. The record is from RNAcentral.
CCUACGGGUGGCAGCAGUGGGGAAUAUUGCACAAUGGGGGAAACCCUGAUGCAGCGACGCCGCGUGAGUGAAGAAGUAUUUCGGUAUGUAAAGCUCUAUCAGCAGGGAAGAAAAAAGACGGUACCUGACUAAGAAGCCCCGGCUAACUACGUGCCAGCAGCCGCGGUAAUACGGAGGGGGCAAGCGUUAUCCGGAUUUACAGGGUGUAAAGGGAGCGUAGACGGUAUGGCAAGUCUGAAGUGAAAGCCCAGGGCUUAACCCUGGGACUGCUUUGGAAACUGUUAGACUAGAGUGCUGGAGAGGUAAGUGGAAUUCCUAGUGUAGCGGUGAAAUGCGUAGAUAUUAGGAGGAACACCAGUGGCGAAGGCGGCAAUCUGGCUGGAAACUGACGCUGAGGUGCGAAAGCGUGGGUAGCAAACAGGAUUAGAUACCCGAGUAGUC